UGACAGAGAGAGGGAGGGGGUGACUAGUGACAGAGUGAGGGAGGGAAGGGGUGACUAGUGACAGAGUGAGGGAGGUUGUGAUUAGUGACAGAGGGAGGGAUGGGGUGACUAAUGACAGUCACCACCUCCUUCACUCUGUCACUAGUCACCCCCUCCCUCACUCUGUCAUUGUGUCACCCCCUCUCUCACUCUGUCACUAGUCAUCCCCUUCCUUACUGUCACUAGUUACCCCCUCCCUCUCUCUGUCACUA
Pelobates cultripes (western spadefoot toad) is the source of this 251-nucleotide non-coding RNA. The record is from the annotation of a GenBank genome assembly. Lineage: Eukaryota; Metazoa; Chordata; Amphibia; Anura; Pelobatidae.